This 292-nucleotide ribosomal RNA is filed under the name uncultured bacterium. RNAcentral describes it as "partial 16S ribosomal RNA". It matches the Rfam family "Bacterial small subunit ribosomal RNA", at positions 505 to 796 of the family's 1533-position model. The record is from RNAcentral.
GUGCCAGCAGCCGCGGUAAUACGAACCGUCCAAACGUUAUUCGGAUUUAUUGGGCUUAAAGGGUAUGUAGGCGGCGCUGUCAGUCGGGUGUGAAAUCCCUCGGCUCAACCGAGGAACUGCGCCCGAUACUGCAGUGCUUGAGGGAGACAGAGGUAAGCGGAACUGAUGGUGGAGCGGUGAAAUGCGUUGAUAUCAUCAGGAACACCAGUGGCGAAAGCGGCUUACUGGGUCUCUUCUGACGCUGAGAUACGAAAGCUAGGGGAGCGAACGGGAUUAGAAACCCUAGUAGUCC